This 109-nucleotide small RNA is filed under the name Mycoplana azooxidifex. RNAcentral describes it as "Rhizobiales sRNA Atu_At1". It matches the Rfam family "Rhizobiales sRNA Atu_At1". Lineage: Bacteria; Pseudomonadati; Pseudomonadota; Alphaproteobacteria; Hyphomicrobiales; Rhizobiaceae. The record is from Rfam by way of RNAcentral.
GGCGCGGCCGUGCCAACCGGACACGGCGGAGAUGGAGAACGCAGGGAUUUUUCCGGUUUCUUCCUGCGGCCAACGAAACGGCAGUCGAGCUCCUUUACCCGUCCGGCCU